Molecule: ribosomal RNA, 508 nt
Filed under: uncultured bacterium
Lineage: Bacteria
Description: partial 16S ribosomal RNA
Rfam family: Bacterial small subunit ribosomal RNA
Source: RNAcentral
AUUGAACGCUGGCGGCAUGCCUUACACAUGCAAGUCGAACGGCAGCGGGGGAGAAGCUUGCUUUUCCUGCCGGCGAGUGGCGAACGGGUGAUUAAUACAUCGGAACGUGCCCUGUAGUGGGGGAUAACUAGUCGAAAGAUUAGCUAAUACCGCAUACGACCUGAGGGUGAAAGUGGGGGACCGCAAGGCGUCAUGCUAUAGGAGCGGCCGAUGUCUGAUUAGCUAGUUGGUGGGGUAAAGGCCUACCAAGGCGACGAUCAGUAGCUGGUCUGAGAGGACGAUCAGCCACACUGGGACUGAGACACGGCCCAGACUCCUACGGGAGGCAGCAGUGGGGAAUUUUGGACAAUGGGCGAAAGCCUGAUCCAGCAAUGCCGCGUGUGUGAAGAAGGCCUUCGGGUUGUAAAGCACUUUUGUCCGGAAAGAAAUGGCUCUGGUUAAUACCUGGGGUCGAUGACGGUACCGGAAGAAUAAGGACCGGCUAACUACGUGCCAGCAGCCGCAGUAA